GCGCCCGUAGCUCAGUGGAUAGAGCGCUGCCCUCCGGAGGCAGAAGUCGCAGGUUCGAAUCCUGCCGGGCGCG
RNAcentral lists this transfer RNA (73 nucleotides) under Actinomycetes bacterium. RNAcentral describes it as "Actinobacteria bacterium tRNA-Arg". It matches the Rfam family "tRNA". From Rfam's summary of the family: Transfer RNA (tRNA) molecules are approximately 80 nucleotides in length. Lineage: Bacteria; Bacillati; Actinomycetota; Actinomycetes. RNAcentral also lists the same sequence under 7 other names. The record is from RNAcentral.